Molecule: long non-coding RNA, 914 nt
Filed under: Marmota monax (woodchuck)
Lineage: Eukaryota; Metazoa; Chordata; Mammalia; Rodentia; Sciuridae
Source: RNAcentral
UGAAUUUAAUCCCCAGUACCUAAAUAAAUACAUAAAUAAAUAAAAAUUUGAGAGGGGACAUCUGCCCUGUACUUUGGAAGGAAUAUUCCUUUAACCCAUUCUUUUUUUCUGUAUUAACUUAGAGGUGGAAUGUUUUAAGAUUUAUAUUAAUAAAGAAAAGGAAAUUAAAACCUGUGUAACAAAAUAAAUAGAUUCUCAAGUUGGUGUAAAUCAUAGAUAGGAGAAAGCUGUAAGUUCUUGAGAGAUAAAAUGGCUAAAUCAUUAUUUGAACUGGUAUUUUGUGGUAUAGGUAUCAGCUAAUUUUUCAAACCCAUGAAAGAUGUAAAGAAUUCUCUAGAAAUUAGGUCAAAGCCAUAGAUAAGGGAACUAAGUAAUUUAUUAAUGAGACCAGGAGACUCCUGUGAGGGGAAAAGCAGUAUCAGGAAUAAUUAUGCACUGGUAUUGUUCUGGGGGUGGAAAAUGAGACUUCUGGUCACCCUAGUUCUGGUCCUCAAUAGUGGUUCACAGUUUACAUGAUUCAAGGUGAAAUCAAAUGCGAAAGUAAGGUAUUUCCUCCUGGUCUGGCAUAUUAGUGGAAGGAUUGUUUUGUUAUAUAAAAUACAGGUGGUUCAAGGUCCUAAAAAUGCCAAAAUGAAAUUGUCUUCGUGGUUAGGCAUUUCUGGUUGCUUUUCAGGUCAAGGUGAUGGUGUUUGGAGACCAUGCUGAGUGGAUUCAAGGCUCAGCCACGUAGGUCCUUAAUGACUUCAGUGUGGGUUUUUAAUCUCCUGCCCAAGUGUUAUCAGACUUGCCCAGACAAGCCGUUCACCACAACAGGAGAGUGUGGGAAAAUUAACACUGCCCCAGGAACCUGGGUAGGAAUAAAGUGUCUGAAGGUGGAAAUGAAUUGCGGUAGGAUUUAUUUUAAUGCAGUCUGG